Molecule: unclassified non-coding RNA, 334 nt
Filed under: soil metagenome
Description: partial contains 5.8S ribosomal RNA, internal transcribed spacer 2, and large subunit ribosomal RNA
Rfam family: 5.8S ribosomal RNA (bases 1-120)
Source: RNAcentral
GAUGAAGAACGCAGCGAAAUGCGAUAAGUAAUGUGAAUUGCAGAAUUCAGUGAAUCAUCGAAUCUUUGAACGCACAUUGCGCCCGCCAGUAUUCUGGCGGGCAUGCCUGUUCGAGCGUCAUUUCAACCAUCAAGCCCCCGGCUUGUGUUGGGGACCUGCGGCUGCCGCAGGCCCUGAAAUGCAGUGGCGGGCUCGCUGUCACUCCGAGCGUAGUAGUUACAUCUCGCUCUGGGCGUGCUGCGGGUUCCGGCCGUUAAAAGCCUUAUUUACCCAAGGUUGACCUCGGAUCAGGUAGGAAGACCCGCUGAACUUAAGCAUAUCAAUAAGCGGAGGC